Molecule: long non-coding RNA, 103 nt
Organism: Zingiber officinale
Lineage: Eukaryota; Viridiplantae; Streptophyta; Magnoliopsida; Zingiberales; Zingiberaceae
Exons: 3
Source: RefSeq, a predicted model, not a curated record
CCUUUAUGCUGUUCAACAUCAAUGGAUCUAAUCUUUAUUUCUGGAUAGCUAUUAUUCCUGUUACGCUUGUCCUCUCGGUGGGUGCAAAGUUGCAGCAUGUUAU